Molecule: long non-coding RNA, 729 nt
Organism: Asterias rubens (European starfish)
Lineage: Eukaryota; Metazoa; Echinodermata; Asteroidea; Forcipulatida; Asteriidae
Exons: 5
Source: RefSeq, a predicted model, not a curated record
CAGAUGAAGUCUGCCGCUCCACCAUGCCUGAUUCAAAGCUGACCGGUGUCAAGAUUCAACAAUGUCUUCUCCAUCAACAGGUGCAUGACGGCUGACGUGGAUGUCAUUGCACCCCUGGGUCAUCUUUAAGGCGAUACCAGGAUGAGGACUUGAUGCUGUUCGGUGAUGAUAAAUAUUUCUAGUGUGGCCUACGACAGCUGCCCACCUUAGCAAGCUGACAGCUGCCCGCCUGGAAACAAAGAAAACAACAUGAGAAACAUGAUGUCCCACAACCAAGUCUAGCAAAUCAAUUUCACUAGAGUCUUGAAGGCUUCAGAGAGCAACGAUGAAAACAUCAGAGUCUUCAAGGCAUUCUACACAUCAAGGAAUCAUGGAUAAACAACCAAGCUCAUUUCCUGUAACCCGAAGAUGAGGAUGUUCCUAACAGUGCACAAUGAGUUCGGUAAAUGAACAGAAAAAAAAGCAUGAGAAGCCUGAUGUCCCACAACCAAGUCUAGCAAAUCAAUUUCACUAGAGUCUUGAAAGUUUCAGAGAGCAACGAUGGGAAACAUCAGAGUCUUCAAGGCAUUCUAUACAUCAAGGAAUCAUGGAUAAACAACCAAGCUCAUUUCCUGGAACCUGAAGAUGAGGACGUUUCUAACAGUGCACAAUCAGACCGGUAAAAGUAAAAGCUUACCAUAUACAAAGAGAUCUAUCUACAUGCAAGACUGCUGAACCCACUCUCCAAUG